This 494-nucleotide ribosomal RNA is filed under the name uncultured bacterium. Its description in RNAcentral is "partial 16S ribosomal RNA". It matches the Rfam family "Bacterial small subunit ribosomal RNA", at positions 28 to 507 of the family's 1533-position model. The record is from RNAcentral.
GACGAACGCUGGCGGCGUGCUUAACACAUGCAAGUCGAACGGAAAGGCCUGCUUUCCCUUGUGGAUUGCGGGUACUCGAGUGGCGAACGGGUGAGUAACACGUGAGUGAUCUGCCCCCAACUUGGGUAUAAGCCUGGGAAACUGGGUCUAAUUCCCGAUAGGACUGCAGGGUGGUGCCUGUGGUGGAAAGCGAUUUUCUAGUGGUUGGGGAUGAGCUCGCGGCCUAUCAGCUUGUUGGUGGGGUAAUGGCCUACCAAGGCGGCGACGGGUAGCCGGCCUGAGAGGGUGGACGGCCACAUUGGGACUGAGAUACGGCCCAGACUCCUACGGGAGGCAGCAGUGGGGAAUAUUGCACAAUGGGCGGAAGCCUGAUGCAGCGACGCCGCGUGGGGGAUGACGGCCUUCGGGUUGUAAACUCCUUUCGACCGCGAGGAAGCCACCUGGUUGGAAGGGUGGUGACGGUAGUGGUAGAAGAAGCACCGGCUAACUACGUG